CUCCAAUCAACUUCCGGCGCGAAUCCAGCGACAUUAUUCUAUUUCUCAGGGAAUUUAUGGCUCCCUGAGAUUGGCCCGGCCCUAGGAGGAAGCUUGUCUCCGGUGUACUGUAUCUGGAUCUCCAGCCUCCUGGCAGCAAUUCCGAGAGGGGAGAAGUGUGGCUUGGCCCAGGCUGUGCAGAAAAUCCGAAAAUUCGAGCGGAUCUGGCUCCGGACUACAUUUCCCAGACACCCUGGCGGGUAUAGGGCUGACCCUUCACUCGCCUGCGGAACCCUAGGCCUCCGGGGAAGAGGAAGUGCAAGCUCUGCUUUUCUCAGAGAGGUCCCCAGAGGAGAAGGAGGAAUGGCUGUUGACCAAGCCAAAUGCAAGGUAUUCUCAACUCCAUAUGGUAAGAGUAUGUUUGAUUUUGUAAGAAGCUGCCAAACUGUCUUCCAAAGUGGCUGUACCAUUUUGCAUUCUCACCAGCAAUGAAUGAGAGUUCCUGUUGCUCCACAUCCUGGCCAGCAUUUGGUGUUAUAAGUGUUCUGGAUUUUGGCCAUUCUAAUUGGUAUGUAGUGGAGGGGGCUUUUAUUAAGACAUUAAAACAUAUUUUAAAAUUAUAUAGAGAAUGUGGUACUGGCAAAAUAAUAAAGAGGUCA
This 638-nucleotide long non-coding RNA is filed under the name Physeter macrocephalus (sperm whale). RNAcentral describes it as "Physeter catodon (sperm whale) lncRNA (ENSPCTG00005013824.1)". The record is from RNAcentral. Lineage: Eukaryota; Metazoa; Chordata; Mammalia; Artiodactyla; Physeteridae.